Long non-coding RNA from Xiphophorus hellerii (green swordtail), 544 nucleotides. RefSeq lists it as uncharacterized. The record is from RefSeq and is a predicted model, not a curated record. Lineage: Eukaryota; Metazoa; Chordata; Actinopteri; Cyprinodontiformes; Poeciliidae. The transcript has 4 exons.
AAGUGGAAGCAGCUAUUGCUGUUUUGAAACACUCUGCUGAUGAUGACACUGUCCGUGAGAAGAUGAAGGCUACCUUCCAUUACCGUCAUUCAAUGGUCAAUGAUGAAAAGAAAGCGGCAAAUGUCUUCUCUGUCUUUCCACGGUUUCUGGACACACCAGGACUGAUAUAAAAAGAUUUCAGACUCCUGUUUGGCGAAGACACUGCCAACAAAUCUUUGGAGAAGUGGCCCACCAGUCUCAAAUCCAAGGUUAUAAAGGAAAGCCAUGAGCUCUUGGAUUUAUUGCGGAAUGCAGAGUUGGCUGCUGAAGCUAAGAAUGCUGCAUCUGCUACCACCAUCUGCACAAGGACGAAAGAGGCCGGGUAAGAUGUCUGCAUCUUAAGCAGUGGAUCACCUCAUCAGAUGUCUAAAGGUUGGAACCAGUGUACAGAGGCAUCUUGACAAAAUCAUGCAACGUACCCAGCCCUACCUCCUUGCCCAGGGAUUCAUCCAAAGCAGUAUUCACACAUUCUUCAUUGUGAUUGACAACUGUACUAUUCCAUGUA